GUGCCAGCAGCCGCGGUAAGACAGAGGAUGCAAGCGUUAUCCGGAAUUACUGGGCGUAAAGGGCGUCUAGGCGGUUCGGUAAGUCGUUUGUGAAAUCCCUUGGCUCAACCAAGGAGGGUCUUGCGAUACUGCCGGGCUUGGGUGCAGGAGAGGAGAGUGGAACUCACAGAGUAGCGGUGGAAUGCGUAGAUACUGUGAGGUACCCCGAUGGCGAAGGCAACUCUCUGGCUUGCCACCGACGCUGAAGCGCGAAAGCGUGGGGAGCAAAGGGGAUUAGAUACCCCCGUAGUCCACGCCCUAAACAAUGUUCACUUGGUGUCGGCCGCUUAUACUGGUCGGUGCCGAAGCUAACGCGUUAAGUGAACCGCCUGAGGAGUACGGCCGCAAGGCUAAAACUCAAGAGAAUUGACGGGUCCCUGCACAAGCGGUGGAGCACGUGGUUUAAUUCGAUGAUAAACGAAGGACCUCACCCAGGCUUGACAUACUAGUGGUAGGAACCUGAAAGGGGGACGACUCUGCCUUCGGGUAGAGAGCUAGUACAGGUGAUGCAUGGCUGUCGUCAGCUCGUGUCGUGGGAUGUUGGGUUCAGUCCCGAAACGAGCGCAACCCUUGUCGUUAGUUGCCAGCGGGUAAUGCCGGGGACUCUAACGAGACUGCUGGUGAAUAGCCGGAGGAAGGCGGGGAUGACGUCAAGUCAUCAUGGCCCUUACGUCCUGGGCUGCAAACGUCCUACAAUGGCCGGUACAGAGGGAUGCCAACCCGCGAGGGGGAGCAGAUCCCGCAAAGCCGGCCUCAGUUCGGAUUGUAGGCUGCAAUUCGCCUACAUGAAGCUGGAAUCGCUAGUAAUCGCGGAUCAGCUAUGCCGCGGUGAAUGUGUUCCUGAGCCUUGUACACACCGCCCGUCAAGCCAUGGAAGUCGGGAGUACCUUAAGUCGCUGACCGAACCGCAAGGACGGAGGCGCCCAAGGUA
Molecule: ribosomal RNA, 970 nt
Filed under: uncultured bacterium
Lineage: Bacteria
Description: bacterial SSU rRNA
Rfam family: Bacterial small subunit ribosomal RNA
Source: RNAcentral